CUCCUUGUUUGAUGGCCCCUUUUGGCUAAGAUCAAGUGUAGUAUCUGUUCUUAUCAGUUUAAUAAUGAAUUUUUUAAAAAACAUUUAUUCUAUUUGAAAGGCAGAGUCACA
This is a small nuclear RNA of Oryctolagus cuniculus (rabbit), 111 nucleotides long. Its record names the gene U2. It matches the Rfam family "U2 spliceosomal RNA". Rfam says of the family: U2 is a small nuclear RNA (snRNA) component of the spliceosome (involved in pre-mRNA splicing). Complementary binding between U2 snRNA (in an area lying towards the 5' end but 3' to hairpin I) and the branchpoint sequence (BPS) of the intron results the bulging out of an unpaired adenosine, on the BPS, which initiates a nucleophilic attack at the intronic 5' splice site, thus starting the first of two transesterification reactions that mediate splicing. Lineage: Eukaryota; Metazoa; Chordata; Mammalia; Lagomorpha; Leporidae. The record is from Ensembl.